GCCGCGGGCAAAUCCGCGCCCAAAAAUAACCGCCCGAAGGCCGGGGCGCCAAGUUCGUCCUGCGGAAAACGGCCACAAAAACGGGUGGGCUAUAGCCUUGGGGGGUGGGGCUGGCCCACUUCGUCCGCCGGACUCGGAAUGCCGCGAGACUUUGUGAGGGGCCUCCGUCCGCCAAAAAUAGGCCGCGGGCAAAGCCACGCCCAAAAAUAACAGCCCGAAGGCCGGGGCGCCAAGUUCGUCCAGUGGAAAAAGGCCACAAAAACGGGUGGGCUAUAGCCUUGGGGGGUGAUGCUGGCCCACUUCGUCCGCCGGACUCGGAAUGCCGCGAGACUUUGCAAGGGGCCUCCGUGUGCCAAAAAUAGGCCGCGGGCAAAGCCACGCCCAAAAAUAACCGCCCGAAGGCCGGGGCGCCAAGUUCGUCCAGUGGAAAAAGGCCACAAAAACGGGUGUGCUAUAGCCUUGGGGGGUGGGGCUAGCCAACUUCGUCCGCGGGACUCGGAAUGCCGCGAGACUUUGCGAGGGGCCUCCGUGUACCAAAAAUAGGCCGCGGGCAAAGCCGCGCCCAAAAAUAACCGCCCGAAGGCCGGGGCGCCAUGUUCGUCCAGCGGAAAAAGGCCACAAAAACGGGUGGGCUAUAGCCUUGGGGGGUGAUGCUGGCCCGCUUCGUCCGCCGGACUCGGAAUACCGCGAGACUUUGCCAGGGGCCUCCGUGUGCCAAAAAUAGGCCGUGGGCUAUGCCGCACCCAAAAAUAACCGCCCGACGGACGGGGCGCCAAGUUCGUCCGGAGGAAAAAAGCCACAAAAACGGGUGGGCUNNNNNNNNNNNNNNNNNNNNNNNNNNNNNNNNNNNNNNNNNNNNNNNNNNNNNNNNNNNNNNNNNNNNNNNNNNNNNNNNNNNNNNNNNNNNNNNNNNNNUUCGCCCGCCGGACUCGGAAUGCCGCGAGACUUUUUGAGGGGACUCCGUGUGCCAAAAAUAGGCCGCGGGCAAAUCCGCGCCCAAAAAUAACCGCCCGAAGGCCGGGGCGCCAAGUUCGUCCUGCGGAAAACGGCCACAAAAACGGGUGGGCUAUAGCCUUGGGGGGUGGGGCUGGCCAACUUCGUCCGCCGGACUCGGAAUGCCGCGAGACUUUGCAAGGGGCCUCCGUGUCCCAAAAAUAGGCCGCGGGCAAAGCCGCGCCCAAAAUUAACUGCCCGAAGACCGGGGCGCCAAGUUCGUCCAGCGGAAAAAGGCCACAAAAACGGGUGGGCUAUAGCCUUGGGGGGUGGGGCUGGCCAACUUCGUCCGCCGGACUCGGAAUGCCGCGAGACUUUGUGAGGGGCCUCCGUGAGCCAAAAAUAGGCAGCGGGCAAAGCCACGCCUAAAAAUAANNNNNNNNNNNNNNNNNNNNNNNNNNNNNNNNNNNNNNNNNNNNNNNNNNNNNNNNNNNNNNNNNNNNNNNNNNNNNNNNNNNNNNNNNNNNNNNNNNNNCCAAGUUCGUCCAGCGGAAAAAGGCCACAAAAACGGGUGGGCUAUAGCCUUGCGGGGUGGGCCUGGCCCACUUCGUCCGCCGGACUCGGAAUGCCACGAGACUUUGCGAGGGCCCGGCGUGUGCCAAAAAUGAGGCCGCGGGCAAAGCCGCGCCCAAAAAUAACCGCCCGAAGGCCGGGGCGCCACGUUUGUCCAGCGGAAAAAGGCCACAAAAACGGGUGGGCUAUAGCCCUGGGGGGUGAUGCUGGCCCACUUCGUCCGCCGGACUCGGAAUGCCGCGAGACUUUGCAAGGGGCCUCCGUGUGCCAAAAAUAGGCCACGGACAAUGCCGCGCCCAAAAAUAACCGCCCGACGGACGGGGCGCCAAGUUCGUCCAGCGGAAAAAAGCCACAAAAACGGGUGGGCUAUAGCCUUGGGGGGUGAUGCUGGCCAACUUCGUCCGCCGGACUCGGAAUGCCGCGAGACUUUUCGAGGGGACUCCGUGUGCCAAAAAUAGGCCGCGGGCAAAUCUGAACCCAAAACUAACCGCCCGAAGGCCGGGACGCCAAGUUCGUCCUGCGGAAAAAGGCCACAAAAACGGGUGGGCUAUAGCCUUGGGGGGGCUGGCCAACUUCCUCCGCCCGACUUGCAAUGACUCGAGAAUUUGUGAGGGGCCUCCGUCCGCCAAAAAUAGGCCGCGGGCAAAGCUACGCCCAAAAAUAACAGCCCGAAGGCUGGGGCGCCAUGUUCGUCCAGCGGAAAAAGGCCACAAAAACGGGUGGGCUAUAGCCUUGGUGGGUGGGCCUGGCCAACUUCGUCCGCCGGACUCGGAAUGCCGCGAGACUUUGCGAGGGGCCGGCGUGUGCCAAAAAUAGGCCGCGGGCAAAGCCGCGCCCAAAACUAACCGCCGGAAGGCCGGGGCGCCAAGUUCGCCCAGCGGAAAAAGGCCACAAAAACGGGUGGGCUAUAGCCUUGGGGGGUGGGGCUGGCCAACUUCGUCCAUCGGACUUGGAAUGCCGCGAGACUUUGCAAGGGGCCUCCGUGGGCCAAAAAUAGGCCGUCGGCAAAUCCGCGCCCAAAAAUAACCGCCCGAAGGCCGAGGCGCCAAGUUCGUCCUGCGGAAAAAGGCCACAAAAACGGGUGGGCUAUAGCCUUGGGGGGUGGGGCUUCCCCACUUCGUCCGCCGGACUCGGAAUGCCACGAGACUUUGCGAGGGCCUCCAUGUGCCAAAAAUAGGCCGUGGGCAAAGCCGCACCCAAAAAUAACCGCCCGAAGGCCGGGGCGCCAACUUCGUCCAGCGGAAAAAGGCCAGAAAAACGGGUGGUCUAUAGCCUUGGGAGGUGGGGCUGGCCAACUUCGUCCGCCGGACUCGGAAUGCCCCGAGACUUUGCGAGGAGCCUCCGUGUGCCAAAAAUAGGCUGCGGGCAAAGCCGCGCCCAAAAAUAACCCCCCGAAGGCCGGGGCGCCAAGUUCGUCCAGCGGAAAAAGGCCACAAAAACGGGUGGGCUAUAGCCUUGGGGGGUGGGGCUGGCCAACUUCGUCCGCCGGAGUCGGAAUGCCGCGAGACUUUACGAGGGGCCUCCGUGUGCCAAAAAUAGGCCGCGGGCAAAGCCGCGCUGAAAAAUAAUCGCCUGACGGCCGGGGCGCCAACUUCGUCCAGCGGAAAAAGGCCACAAAAACGGGUGGGCUAUAGCCUUGGGGGGUGGGGCAGGCCAACUUCGUCCGCCGGACUAUGAAUGCCGCGAGCCUUUGCGAGGGGCUGUCGUGUGCCAAAAAUAGGCCGCCGGCAAAGCCGCGCCCAAAAAUAACCGCCCGAAGGCCGGGUCGCCAAGUUCGUCCAGCGGAAAAAGGCCACAAAAACGGGUGGGCUAUAGCCUUGGGGGGUGGGGCAGGCCAACUUCGUCCGCCGGACUCAGAAUGGCGCAAGACUUUGCGAGGGGCCUCCAUGUGCCAAAAAUAGGCCGCAGUAAAUGCCGCGCCCAAAAAUAACCGCCCGAAGGCCGUGGCGCCAAGUUCGUCCAGCGGAAAAAGGCCACAAAAACGGGUGGGCUAUAGCCUUGGGGGGUGGGGCUGCCCAACUUCGUCCUCCGGACUCGGAUUGCCGUGAGACUUUGCGAGGGGCUUCCGUGUACCAAAAAUAGGCCGCGGGCAAAGCCGCGCCCAAAAAUAACCGCCCGAAGGCCGGGGUUUCAAGUUCGUCCAGUGGAAAAAGGCCACAAAAACGGGUGGGCUAUAGCUUUGGUGGGUGGGGCUGGCCAACAUCGUCCAUUGGACUCGGAAUGCCGCGAGACUUUGCGAGGGGCCUUCUUGGGCCAAAAAUAGGUCGCGGGCAAAGCUACGCCCAAAAAUAACCACCCGAAGGCCGGGGCGCCAAGUUCGUCCAGCGGAAAAAGGCCACAAAAACGGGUGGGCUAUAGCCUUGGGGGGUGGGGCUGGCCAACUUCGUCCGCCGGACUCGGAAUGCCGCGAGACUUUGCAAGGGGCCUCCGUGUGCCAAAAAUAAGCCGCGGGUAAAGCCGCACCCAAAUAUAACCUCCCGAAGGCCGGGGCGCCAAGUUCGUCCAGCGGAAAAAGGCCACAAAAAUGGGUGGGCUAUAGCCUUGGGGGGUGGGGCUGGCCACCUUCGUCCGCCGGACUCGGAAUGCCGCGAGACUUUUCGAGGGGCCUCCGUGUGCCAAAAUUGGCCGCGGGCAAAGCCGCGUCCAAAAAUAACCGCCCGAAGGCCGGGGCGCCAAGUUCGUCCAGCGGAAAAAGGCCACAAAAAUGGGUGGGCUAUAGCCUUGGGGGGUGGGGCUGGCCACCUUCGUCCGCCGGACUCGGAAUGCCGUGAGACUAUGCGAGGGGCCUCCGUGUGCCAAAAAUAGGCCUCGUUCAAAGCCGCGCCCAAAAAUAACCGCCCGAAGGCCGGGGCGCCAAGUUCGUCCAGCGGAAAAAGGCCACAAAAACGGGUGGGCUAUAGCUUUGGGGGGUGGGGCUGGCCAACUUCAUCCAUCGGACUCGGAAUGCCGCGAGACUUCGCGAGGGGCCUCCGUGUGCCAAAAAUAGGCCGCGGGCAAAGCCACCCCCAAAAAUAACUGCCCGAAGGCCGGGGCGCCAAGUUCGUCCAGCGGAAAAAGGCCACAAAAACGGGUGGGCUAUAGCCUUGGGGGGUGGGGCUGGCCAACUUCGUCCGCCGGACUCGGAAUGCCGCGAGACUUUGCAAGGGGCCUCCGUGUCGCAAAAGUAGGCCGCGGGCAAAGCCGCGCCCAAAAUUAACUGCCCGAAGACCGGGGCGCCAAGUUCGUCCAGCGGAAAAAGGCCACAAAAACGGGUGGGCUAUAGCCUUGCGGGGUGGGGCUGCCCAACUUCGUCCGCCGGAUUCGGAAUGCCGCGAGACUUUGCGAGGGGCCUCCGUGUGCCAAAAAUAGACCACAGGCAAAGCCGCGCCCAAAAAUAAUCGCCCGAUGGCCGGGGCGCCAAUUAGUCCAGCGGAAAAAGGCCACAAAAACGGGUGGGCUAUAGCCUUGGGGGGUGGGGCUGGCCCACUUCGUCCGCCGGACUCGGAAUGCCGCAAGACUUUGCGAGGGGCCUCCGUGUGCCAAAAAUAGGCCGCGGGCAAAGCCGCACCCAAAAUUAACCGCCCGAAGGCCAGGGCGCCAAGUUCGUCCAGCGGAAAAAUGCCACAAAAACGGGUGGGCUAUAUCCUUGGGGGGUGAUGCUGGCCAACUUUGUCCGCUGGACUCGGAAUGCCGCGAGACUUUGCGAGGGGCCUCCAUGUGCCAAAAAUAGGCCGCGGACAAAGCCGCGCCCAAAAUUAACCGCCCGAAGGCCGGGGCGCCAAGUUCGUCCAGCGGAAAAAGGCCACAAAAACGGGUGGGCUAUAGGCUUGGGGGGUGGGGCUGGCCGAUUUCGUCCGCCGGACUCGGAAUGCCGCGAGACUUUGCGAGGGGCCUCCGUGUGCAAAAAAUAGGCCGCAGGCAAAGCCGCGCCCAAAAAUAACCGCCCGACAGCCGGGGCGCCAAGUUCGUCCUCCGGAAUAAGUCCAUAAAAACGGGUGGGCUAUAGCCUUGGGGGGUGGGGCUGGCCAACUUCGUCUGCCGGACUCGGAAUGCCGCGAGACUUUGCGAGGGGUCUCCAUGUGCAAAAAAUAGGCCGCGGGCAAAGCCGAGCCAAAAAUUAACCACCCGAAGGCCGGGGCGCCAAGUUCUCCCAGCGGAAAAAGGCCACAAAAACGGGUGGGCUAUAGCCUUGGGGGGUGGGGCUGGCCAACUUCGUCAGCCGGACUCGGAAUGCCACGAGACUUUGCGAGGGGCCUCCGUGUGCCAAAAAUAGGCCGUGGGCAAAGCCGCGCCCAAAAAUAACCGCCCGACGGCCGGAGCGCCCAGUUCGUCCAGCGGAAAAAGGCCACAAAAACGGGUGGGCUAUAGCCUUGGGGGGUGGGGCUGGCCAACUUCGUCCGCCGGACUCGGAAUGCCGCGAGACUUUGCGAGGGGCCUCCGUGUGCCAAAAAUAGGCCGUGGGGAUGUUUAAAAAGGUUCGUGGUUCAAAAUUUUAUGUUAUCUAGUGAUAAAAUUUUGUAGUGCAUUUUAUAGAUAGGUAGCAGCAGCAAGUUCCGGGGCGCCAAGUUCGUCCAGCGGAAAAACGCCAAAAAAAUGGGUGGGGUAUAGCCUUGGAGGUGAUGCUGGCCCACUUCGUCCGCCGGACUCGGAAUGCCGCGAGACUUUGCGAGGGGCCCCCGUGUGCCAAAAAUAGGCCGCGGGCAAAGCCGCGCCCAAAAUUAACCGCCCGAAGGCCGGGGCGCCAAGUUCAUCCAGCGGAAAAAGGCCACAAAAACGGGUGGGCUAUAGCCUUGGGGGGUGGGGCUGGCCAACUUCGUCCGCCGGACUCGGAAUGCCUCGAGACUUUGCGAGGGGCCUCCGUGUGCCAAAAAUAGGCCGCGGGAAAAGCCACGCCCAAAAAUAACCGCCCGACGGCCGGGGCGCCAAGUUCGUCCAGCGGUAAAAGGCCACAAAAACGGUUGGGCUAUAGCCUUGGGGGGUGGGGCUGGCCGACUUCGUCCGCCAGACUCGGAAUGCCGCGAGACUUUGCGAGGGGCCUCUGUGUGCCAAAAAUAGGCCGCGGACAAAGUAGCGACCAAAAAUAACUGCCCGAAGGCCGGGGCGCCAUGUUCGUCCAGCGGAAAAAGGCCACAAAAACGGGUGGGCUAUAGUCUUGGGGGGUGGGCCUGGCCAACUUCGUCCGCCGGACUCGGAAUGCCGCGAGACUUUGCGAGGGGGCUCCAUGUGCAAAAAAUAGGCCGAGGGCAAAGCCGCGCCCAAAAUUGACCGCCCGAAGGCCGGGGCGCCAAGUUCAUCCAGCGGAAAAACACCACAAAAACGGGUGGGCUAUAGCCUUGGGGGGUGGGGCUGGCCAACUUCGUCCGCCGGACUCGGAAUGCCUCGAGACUUUGCGAGGGGCCUACGUGUGCCAAAAAUAGGCCGCAGGAAAAGUCACGCUCAAAAAUAACCACCCGACGGCCGGGGCGCCAAGUUCGUCCAGCGGAAAAAGGCCCCAAAAACGGGUGGGCUAUAGCCUUGGGGUGUGGGGCUGGCCAACUUCGUCCGCCGGACUCGGAAUGCCGCGAGACUUUGCAAGGGGCCUCCAUGUGCCAAAAAUAGGCCGCGGCCAAAGCCGCACCAAAAAUUAACCGCCCGAAGGCCGGGGCGCGUAGUUCAUCCGCCGGAAAAAGGCCACAAAAACGGGUGGGCUAUAGCCUUGGGGGGUGGGGCUGGCCAACUUCGUCCGCCGGACUCGGAAUGCCGUGAGACUUUGCGAGGGGCCUCCGUGUGCCAAAAAUAGGCCGCUGGCAAAGCCGUGCCCAAAAUUAACCGCCCGAAGGCCGGGGCGCCAAGUUCGUCCACCGGAAAAAGGCCACAAAAACGGGUGGGCUAUAGCCUUGGGGGGUGGGGCUGGCCAACUUCGUCCGCCGGACUCGGAAUGCCUCGAAACUUUGUGAGGGUCCUCUGUGAGCCAAAAAUAGGCCGCGGGAAAAGCCAUACCCAAAAAUAACCGCACGACGGCCGGGGCGCCAAGUUCGUCCCACGGAAAAAGGCCACAAAAACGGGUGGGCUAUAGCCUUGGGGGGUGGGGCUGGCCAACUUCGUCCGCCGGACUCGGAAUGCCGCGAGACUUUGCGAGGGGCCUCCAUGUGCCAAAAAUAGGCCGCGGGCAAAGCCGCGCCCAAAAUUAACCGCCCGAAGGCCGGGGCGCCAAGUUCAUCCACCGGAAAAAGGCCACAAAAACGGGUGGGCUAUAGCCUUGGGGGGUGGGGCUGGCCAACUUCGUCCGCCGGACUCGGAAUGCCUCGAGACGUUGCGAGGGUCCUCCGUGUGCCAAAAAUAGGCCGCGGGAAAAGCCACACCCAAAAAUAACCGCCCGACGGCCGGGGCGCCAAGUUCGUCCCGCGGAAAAAGGCCACAAAAACGGGUGGGCUAUAGCCUUGGGGGGUGGGGCUGGCCAACUUCGUCCGCCGGACUCGGAAUGCCGCGAGACUUUGCGAGGGGCCUCCAUGUGCCAAAAAUAGGCCGCGGGCAAAGCCGCGCCCAAAAUUAACAGCCCGAAGGCUGGGGCGCCUAGUUCAUCCACCGGAAAAAGGCCACAAAAACGGGUGGGCUAUAGCCUUGGGGGGUGGGGCUGGCCAACUUCGUCCGCCGGACUCGGAAUGCCGUGAGACUUUGUGAGGGGCCUCCGUGUACCAAAAAUAGGCCGCGGGCAAAGCCGCGCCCAAAAUUAACCGCCAGAAGACCGGGGCGCCAAGUUCGUCCACCGGAAAAAGGCCACAAAAACGGGUGGGCUAUAGCCUUCGGGGGUGGGGCUGGCCAACUUCGUCCGCCGGACUCGGAAUGCCGCGAGAUUUUGCGAGGGGCCUCCGUGUGCAAAAACUAGGCCGCGGGCAAAGCCUCGCCCAAAAAUAACCGCCCGAAGGCCGGGGCGCCAAGUUCAUCAAGCGGAAAAAGGCCACAAAAACGGGUGGGCUAUAGCCUUGGGGGGUGGGGCUGGCCAACUUCGUCCGCCGGACUCGGAAUGCCGUGAGACUUUGCGAGGGGCCUCCGUGUACCAAAAAUAGGCCGCGGGAAAAGCCGCGCCCAAAAAUAACCGCCCGACGGCCGGGGCGCCAAGUUCCUCCAGCGGAAAAAUGCCACAAAAAUGGGUGGGCUAUAGCCUUCGGGGGUGGGGCUGGCCAACUUCGUCCGCCGGACUCGGAAUGCCGCGAGACUUUGCGAGGGGCCUCCGUGUGCCAAAAAUAGGCCGCGGGAAAAGCCGUACCCAAAAAUAACCGCCCGACGGCCAGGGCGCCAAGUUCGUCCAGCAGAAAAAGGCCACAAAAACGGGUGGGCUAUAGCCUUGGGGGGUGGGGCUGGCCAACUUCGUCCGCCGGACUCGGAAUGCCGCGAGACUUUGCGAGGGGCCUCCGUGUGCCAAAAAUAGGCCGCGGGAAAAGCCGCGCCCAAAAAUAACCGCCCGAAGGCCGGGGCGCCUAGUUCAUCCACCGGAAAAAGGCCACAAAAACAGGUGGGCUAUAGCCUUGGGGGGUGGGGCUGGGCAACUUCGUCCGCCGGACUCGGAAUGCCUUGAGACUUUGCGAGGGGCCUCCGUGUGCCAAAAAUAGGCUACGGGCAAAGCCGCACCCAAAAUUAACCGCCCGAAGGCCGGGGCGCCAAGUUCAUCCACCGGAAAAAGAACACAAAAACGGGUGGGCUAUAGCCUUGGGGGGUGGGGCUGGCCAACUUCGUCCGCCGGACUCGGAAUGCCGCGAGAUUUUGGGAGGGGCCUCUCUGUGCCAAAAAUAGGCCGCGGACAAAGCCGCGCCCAAAAUUAACCGCCCGAAGGCCGGGGCGCCAACUUCGUCCUGCGGAAAAAGGCCACAAAAACGGGUGGGCAAUAGCCUUGGGGGGUGAUGCUGGCCAACUUCGUCCGCCGGACUGGGAAUGCCGCGAGACUUUGCGAGGGGCCUCCGUGUGCCAAAAAUAGGCCACGGGAAAAGCCGCGCCCAAAAAUAACUGCCCGACGGCCGGGGCGCCAAGUUCGUCCAGCGGAAAAAGGCCACAAAAACGGGUGGGCUAUAGCCUUGGGGUGUGGGGCUGGCCAACUUCGUCCGCCGGACUCGGAAUGCCGCGAGACUUUGCGAGGGGCCCCUGUGUGCCAAAAAUAGGGCACGGACAAAGCCGCGCCCAAUUUUAACCGCCCGAAGGCCGGGGCGCCAAGUUCGUCCAGCGGUAAAAGGCCACAAAAACGGUUGGGCUAUAGCCUUGGGGGGUGGGGCUGGCCACCUUCGUCCGCCAGACUUUGGGAGGGGCCUCCGUGUGCCAAAAAUAGGCCGCGGGCAAAGCCGCGCCCAAAAUUAACCGCCCGAAGGCCGGGGCGCCAAGUUCGUCCNNNNNNNNNNNNNNNNNNNNNNNNNNNNNNNNNNNNNNNNNNNNNNNNNNNNNNNNNNNNNNNNNNNNNNNNNNNNNNNNNNNNNNNNNNNNNNNNNNNNGAAAAAGGCCACAAAAACGGGUGGGCUUUAGCCUUGGGGGGUGGGGCUGGCCAACUUCGUCCGCCGGACUCGGAAUGCCGCGAGACUUUGCGAGGGGCCUCCGUGUACCAAAACUAGGCCGCGGGCAAAGCCGCGCCCAAAAAUAACCGCCCGAAGGCCGAGGCGCCAUGUUCGUCCAGCGGAAAAAGGCCACAAAAACGGGUGGGCUAUAGCCUUGGGGGGUGGGGCUGGCCAACUUCGUCCGCCGGACUCGGAAUGCCGCGAGACUUUGCGAGGGGCCUCCGUGUACCAAAAAUAGGCCGCGGGCAAAUCUGCGCCCAAAAAUAACCACCCGAAGGCCGGGGCGCCAUGUUCGUCCAGCGGAAAAAGGCCACAAAAACGGGUGGGCUAUAGCCUUGGGGGGUGGGGCUGGCCAACUUCGUCCGCCGGACUCGGAAUGCCGCUAGACUUUGCGAGGGGCCUCUGUGAGCGAAAAAUAGGCCGCGGGCAAAGCCGCGCCCAAAAAUAACCGCCCGAAGGCCAGGGCGCCAAGUUCGUCCAUCGGAAAAAGGCCACAAAAACGGGUGGGCUAUAGCCUUCGGAGGUGGGGCUGGCCGACUUCGUCCGCCGAGCUCGGAAUGGCGCGAGGCUUUACGAGCGGCCUCCGUGUGCCAAAAAUAGGCUGCGGGAAAAGCAGCGCCCAAAAAUAACCGCCCGACGGCCGGGGCGCCAAGUUCGUCCAGCGGAAAAAGGCCACAAAAACGGGUGGGCUAUAGCCUUGGGGGGUGGGGCUGGCCAACUUCGUCCGCCGGACUCGGAAUGCCGCGAGACUUUGUGAGGGGCCUCUGUGAGCGAAAAAUAGGCUGCGGGCAAAGCCGCGCCCAAAAAUAACCGCCCGAAGGCCAGGGCGCCAAAUUCGUCCAGCGGAAAAAGGCCACAAAAACGGGUGGGCUAUAGCCUUGGGGGGUGGGGCUGGCCGACUUCGUCCGCCGGGCUCGGAAUGGCGCGAGACUUUGCGAGGGGCCUCCGUGUGCCAAAAAUAGGCCGUGGGAUGUUUAAAAGGUUCGUGGUUCAAAAUUUUAUGUUAUCUAGUGAUAAAAUUUUGUAGUGCAUCUUAUAGAUAGGUAGCAUCAGCAAGUUCUGGAGCGCCAAGGUCGUCCAGCGGAAAAAGGCCACAAAAACGGGUGGGCUAUAGCCUUGGGGGGUGAUGCUGGCCAACUUCGUCCGCCGGACUCGGAAUGCCGCGAGACUUUGCGAGGGGCCUCCGUGUGCCAAAAAUAGGCCGCGGCCAAAGACGCGCCCAAAAAUAACCGCCCGAAGGCCGGGGCGCCAAGUUCGUCCAGCGGAAAAAGGCCACAAAAACGGGUGGGCUAUAGCCUUGGGGGGUGGGGCUGGCCCACUUCGUCCGCCAGACUCGGAAUGCCGCGAGGGUUUGCAAGGGGCCUCGGUGUGCGAAAAAUAGGCCGCAGGCAAAGCCGCACCAUAAAAUAACCCCCCCAAGGCCGGGGCGCCAAGUUCGUCCAGCGGAAAAAGGCCACAAAAACGGGUGGGCUAUAGCCUUGGGGGGUGGGGCUGGCCAACUUCGUCCGCCGGAUUUGGAAUGCCGCGAUACUUUGCGAGGGGCCUCCGUGUACCACAAAUAGGCCGCGGGCAAAGCCGCGGCAAAAAUUAACCGCCCGAAGGCCGGGGCGCCAAGUUCGUCCAGCGGAAAAAGGCCACAAACACGGGUGGGCUAUAGCCUUGGGGGGUGAUUCUGGCCAACUUCGUCCGCCGGACUCGGAACGCCACGAGACUUUGUGAGGGGCCUCCGUGUCCCAAAAAUAGGCCACGGCCAAAGCCGCGCCCAAAAAUAACUGCCCCAAGGCCGGGGCGCCAAGUUCGUCCAGCGGAAAAAGGCCACAAAAACGGGUGGGCUAUAGCAUCAGGGGGUGGGGCUGGCCAACUUCUUCCGCCGGACUCGGAAUGCCCCGAUACUUUACGAGGGGCCUCCGUGUGCCAAAAAUAGGCCGCGGGCAAAGCCGCGCCAAAAAAUAACCGCCCGAAGGCCGGGGCACCAAGUUCGUCCAGCGGAAAAAGGCCACAAAAACGGGUGGGCGAUAGCCUUGGGGGGUGGGGCUGGCCAUCUUCGUCCGCCGGACUCGGAAUGCCGCGAGACUUUGGAAGGGGCCUCCGUGUGCCAAAAAUAGGCCGCGGGCAAAGCCGCGCCCAAAAUUAACCGCCCGAAGGCCGGGGCGCCAAGUUCGUCCAGCGGAAAAAGNNNNNNNNNNNNNNNNNNNNNNNNNNNNNNNNNNNNNNNNNNNNNNNNNNNNNNNNNNNNNNNNNNNNNNNNNNNNNNNNNNNNNNNNNNNNNNNNNNNNNNNNNNNNNNNNNNNNNNNNNNNNNNNNNNNNNNNNNNNNNNNNNNNNNNNNNNNNNNNNNNNNNNNNNNNNNNNNNNNNNNNNNNNNNNNNNNNNNNNNNNNNNNNNNNNNNNNNNNNNNNNNNNNNNNNNNNNNNNNNNNNNNNNNNNNNNNNNNNNNNNNNNNNNNNNNNNNNNNNNNNNNNAAAUAGGCCGCGGGCAAAGCCGCGCCAAAAAAUAACCGCCCGAAGGCCGGGGCACCAAGUUCGUCCAGCGGAAAAAGGCCACAAAAACGGGUGGGCGAUAGCCUUGGGGGGUGGGGCUGGCCAUCUUCGUCCGCCGGACUCGGAAUGCCGCGAGACUUUGGAAGGGGCCUCCGUGUGCCAAAAAUAGGCCGCGGGCAAAGCCGCGCCCAAAAUUAACCGCCCGAAGGCCGGGGCGCCAAGUUCGUCCAGCGGAAAAAGGCCACAAAAACGGGUGGGCUAUAGCCUCAGGGGGUGGGGCUGGCCAACUUUAUCCGACGGACUCGGAAUGCCCCUAUACUUUGCGAGGGGCCUCCGUGUACCAAAAAUAGGCCGCGGGGAAAGCCGCGCCAAAAAAUAACCGCCCGAAGGCCGGGGCGCCAAGUUCGUCCAGCGGAAAAAGGCCACAAAAACGGGUGGGCUAUAGCCUUGGGGGGUGGGGCUGGCCAACUUCGUCCGCCGGACUCGGAAUGCCGCGAGACUUUGUGAGGGGCGUCCGUGUGCCAAAUAUAGGCCGCGGGCAAAGCCGCGCCCAAAAAUAACCGCCCGAAGGCCGGGGCGCCAAGUUCGUCCAGCGGAAAAAGGCCACAAAAACGGGUGGGCUAUAGCCUUGGGGGGUGGGGCUGGCCAACUUCGUCAGCCGGACUCGGAAUGCCACGAGACUUUGCGAGGGGCCACCGUGUGCCAAAAAUAGGUCGCGGGCAAAGCCGCGUCCAAAAAUAACCGCCCGAAGGCCGGGGCGCCAAGUUCGUCCAGCGGAAAAAGGCCACAAAAACGGGUGGGCUAUAGCCUUGGGGGGUGGGGCUGGCCAACUUCGUCCGCCGGACUCGGAAAGCCGCGAGACUUUGCGAGGGGCCUCUGUGUGCCAAAAAUAGGCCGCGGGCAAAGCCGCGCCCAAAAAUAACCGCCCGAAGGCCGGGGCGCCAAGUUCGUCCAGCGGAAAAAGGCCACAAAAACGGGUGAGCUUUAGCCUUGGGGGGUGGGGCUGGCCCACUUCGUCCGCCGGACUCGGAAUGCCGUGAGACUUUGCGAGGGGCCUCCGUGUGCCAAAAUAGGCCGCAGGCAAAGCCGCGCCCAAAAUUAACCUCCCGAAGGCCGGGGCGCCAAGUUCGUCCAGCGGAAAAAGGCCACAAAAACGGGUGGGCUAUAGCCUUGGGGGGUGGGGCUGGCCAACUUCGUCCGCCAGACUUGGAAUGGCGCGAGACUUUCCAAGGGGCCUCCGUGUGCCAAAAAUAGGCCG
Molecule: long non-coding RNA, 13738 nt
Filed under: Citrus x clementina
Lineage: Eukaryota; Viridiplantae; Streptophyta; Magnoliopsida; Sapindales; Rutaceae
Description: Citrus clementina (C. clementina) long non-coding RNA (CCLE_LNC004781)
Source: RNAcentral